UACGGAGGGUGCAAGCGUUGUUCGGAAUUACUGGGCGUAAAGAGCGUGUAGGCGGUCGAUUAAGUCAGGUGUGAAAGCCCUUGGCUCAACCAAGGAAGUGCAUCUGAAACUGAUCGACUUGAGUACGGGAGAGGAGAGUGGAAUUCCUGGUGUAGAGGUGAAAUUCGUAGAUAUCAGGAGGAACACCGGUGGCGAAGGCUACUCUCUGGACCGAUACUGACGCUGGGACGCCAAAGCGUGGGGAGCAAUCAGG
This 253-nucleotide ribosomal RNA is filed under the name uncultured bacterium. RNAcentral's name for it is "partial 16S ribosomal RNA". It matches the Rfam family "Bacterial small subunit ribosomal RNA", at positions 524 to 776 of the family's 1533-position model. The record is from RNAcentral.